GUGCAGGGUUGGUAAAUCAUUAAGAUUAGGGCUGUCAUUAGAUUAAAAAAAUAAAAUAAUCGCACAUUUUGAAAUUCAUUAAUCUCGUUUAAUGAAUGUUUUUCUUCUAAAGACUGAAUAUAAUAUUUAAAAAAAACAAUCACUUUAGAAAGGGUGUAUUUUAGACCCUGUUGUUUAAUUGUUAAUGUUAUUUUAAAACACAAAACUACACAUUUGAUCAUCUUGGAGGCAGAAUUCCACUUGUUGGAACCUGUUGAACUAGCGACUCUUCCUUCUGUCCUCCUGCACUUUGCUCUCAACUCUCCAUAAUUUAACGGCUGUGUUUGAAGUGCCAACAAUCUCUCACAUUUAGCCAGAAUGUUUUCCAAACCCUGGUCUUUUAGGGACACAGUGGUGGUCCUCUGCAGACUGUGUGCCGCGCAGGGUAACGUUGUAGUUCCACAAUUUUUGUUGUUGGGAAAUUGAGUUGACUAUACACAGAACAUUUCAGAGAGUUAAAUUGACUUUUAACUCUCUAAGCUGUCUAGCUGUCAAGUUGUCUAUUGAUUAGUCAAGCCCUCAUUCACUGAUCAAUCCAUCCCACUGGCAUGCCAAUGUACAGGAAACAACCAAAGCAUUGGCUCUUUUGAAGCACAGAGGACAACGUUUGGUGCAGACCAGACAAGUUCUUCCUUAAGGAGCUGGCGUGGUGCAUAUCGAAACAGGAAAUUACCAAACACAAACAGUUGCCACAAUGUUGAAGAAACACCAUAUUAAGGUAUGGAUUGACCAAAACUAUGGACAAAGUCAACGUCAUAAAUACACAAGAGUAGGUAGUAAUGAGUGCCCAUCUACUUUGUUCAGCUUGAACUUUAACUUCUUAAUCUUUAGCUUUCCAAUGAGAAAUUUUAAUAUUCAUCGUAUCCGUUGGCCUUAAUAUAUUUUACUGUUCCCUGCCAGCUCAUAUUCUGCAUGUGCAACCAUUUAUUUCCCCAAAAGGGAUUAUGAUCUCAGGAGACCAUGCUGCUCAUUUAAAAGGUCAAAUAAAAACACUUAAUAUUCCACUACUGUGCACGCCUGCUACUUGGAGCCUGCAACGAGGAAUCGCUUUAUUGUUAUUGUUUUCAAGGGCACGUUUAACUAAAUAUAGUAGCCACAUAUGCUAAACGACCACUGGAAAAUCACCAACUGCUGCCUGCUUAAAGACUCCAGAGACUGAGUAGGUUGUUUAUCCAUCAUACUGUUCUGUUAAUGCUUUUGAGAUGGAGGCGCCGGGGCUAAUGAAACCUUCUUAUGGUCAAUUGGUGUAUGGACUCAUUGUAUGAUAACAUUAAGGUGCAUUUUAACCCUGAUAACUACUAUAAGAUACAGGAAUAUGGCCGUGAGCAAGAUAAUUGUCAACGUAAGAAAACCUUUCAACACAUUCUUGAAGAGGCAGAGGUGCUGCUUGAGGGGCGUCACCCCCUAUGUAAUUGUAGGGGAAACACAGGGGACAACACAGUGCCAAGGACCAUAGUGCAGACGGCAAUCUCCCAUCACAGUGUAAUUAGGAAAACUAAAACACAAACUUCCAGGAGAUUGGUUUAGAGAAGCCACAAAUCCCGUUGGCUCUUGAGAUGAGGUGCGUCUCUUUAAUUAGCUGAAGUCAAAGCGUCUUAAUUAAGCUUCAGAGACCUGACAUGAGCUGCUAAACUAAACAUGAAAGCCCAAAAAGCAACACUGUUUUGGUGUUUUCUAAUUUCACCACUUCUCUCAGUAAAUGACUGGAGCACUUUGUCCCUGGCUUUAAGGCAUAAUUAGUGUGUGGGGACUCUGUGGAUCUGGACUUCAUGGAGACAUAUGACACGCUGUUUAGAAUUUUCUAUUUCUGGUCCGUGAACUGUUUCCCAGGGGCCUCCUCGUGCUUUACUGCAAAGAAGGACAAAACAAAAAGUAACUUUGACCCAGGAUAUGUGAACUCACUUGAAAACCUGACACUCCCUAAAACCUGUAAAAAAUAUCAAAAGAAAUUGAUGUAUAGGUGGUUGAGGGGAAGUGGUUCUAUUAAAAUGAAUUCUGUUCUAUCACACAGAAAUGCCAUUCAAAGUUGGAUAGCUUUCAUUUUGUGUUCAUUUGUAUGUACAGUCAGAUAUUGUUUUAAUCGUCUUCAAUGAAGUGGUCCAGACUGGUGGUGCAGAUGGUGCCAGUGGGCUUUUAUUAUGCAGAGGGGAUUUAAGGCUCCGUUGGUGCAGAAAACAUUCAAAAGCAAAGAGUUUUCUGCUGGGAAGAAUUAUAGAACGCGAAGAAAAGAACACCACUUAAAUUAAACCCAAUUAUAUACUUAUCCAGCCAGUUUCAUUUUUCUUUUUAUUUAAGGACUCAUCACAAUUAUCUCCUUUGACAUGUGACACAAUUAUAGACUCAUUAUAGACUUUAAAAUAAAUUACAUAGUUUUUUUU
Gasterosteus aculeatus aculeatus (three-spined stickleback) is the source of this 2417-nucleotide long non-coding RNA. NCBI's taxonomy places the organism in Eukaryota, Metazoa, Chordata, Actinopteri, Perciformes, Gasterosteidae. The record is from Ensembl.